GGAAAGUCGAACCCCUUUCGAUAACACAUAUCUCCCAUACUAUCUCUUUUGCUGCAUAACCAUGUGAUGCUUUGUCUGCAAAAAGGAUCCCUGGUGUCUGCUAAUGACCUCAAUAAUUCUUAACUCAGGACUUAAGGGGGCUGACUUGAGAACAUUGUGAAACUGGAAGCAGUUUCAACGCCCUUGCUUUAGGGAACUGAUGGUCUUCAAAGCCGUGGGUUUGGAUGGGGUGACGUAGCUGUUCAGUCCGUGGGGACGCAGAUGAGUGUGUGGUCCGUCUCUACCUUCAGCCUCCAGAGUGAGUAUCCUUACAUCAUAGAGAAUCCUUUGAAAACGUCACACCGAGACCUCAUCUAGAGAACCUCCAGACAAGUCCUCCAGCAGCAUCUAGAGAACCUCCAGAAGAAGUCCUCGAGGUGAAGGUGUCGGACUGCGGCUGAAGUAAUGCAGCAGAUGGACAUGGAUGGAGACGGGAUCCGAAACCUCAUGGUUCCUCAAGGGGGGUUGAAGGAACGGUGCUGGCCCUACAGGUGUCUGACCGCUGGGCUGCUGCUGCUGUGUGCCUUGUCCCUGGCUGGAAACGUAACUCAGUUUUACUGUG
Gadus macrocephalus (Pacific cod) is the source of this 601-nucleotide long non-coding RNA. RefSeq lists it as uncharacterized. The record is from RefSeq and is a predicted model, not a curated record. The transcript has 3 exons. NCBI's taxonomy places the organism in Eukaryota, Metazoa, Chordata, Actinopteri, Gadiformes, Gadidae.